Molecule: transfer RNA, 86 nt
Filed under: Caudoviricetes sp.
Lineage: Duplodnaviria; Heunggongvirae; Uroviricota; Caudoviricetes
Description: tRNA-Ser
Rfam family: tRNA
About the family: Transfer RNA (tRNA) molecules are approximately 80 nucleotides in length. Their secondary structure includes four short double-helical elements and three loops (D, anti-codon, and T loops).
Source: RNAcentral
GCAGUGUUCCCAUAAUUGGAAUUGGAGCCGGUUGCUAGCCGGUCGGGCGUUUAUUCGCUUUGUAGGUUCGAAUCCUGCACACUGCG